RNAcentral lists this transfer RNA (74 nucleotides) under Acidobacteriota bacterium. RNAcentral's name for it is "Acidobacteria bacterium tRNA-Ser". Lineage: Bacteria; Pseudomonadati; Acidobacteriota. The record is from RNAcentral.
GUGUCUGUAAGCGAUAGGCCUUCACUUCCAUGGCAUGGAAGAGGUCGUGAGUUCGAAUCUCACCAGUUCCACCA